UCGUCUUUGGACUGUGCAGAUUUGCUUUCUUUUUUUGAAACAUGUUAGUCUUUGGAUUCAUGCAAAGGGUUUUACAGGCUUGAGUAAUGUAUUUUACUACACUAAACAUCAGUCUCUCGUUAUGAUACCAAAUAAGUCCCUUAUUCCUCUGCCUCCCUUCGUUGUUAUGUAUGAUCCCACGUAUCAAAUCAUAGGAUAAACAAAAUAAACCACAAAUAGGUAAGUUUCAAAUCAACAUAGAACACUUGCUUUAUAAAUAACUCGAGCGUUAAGUUUGAAAAAAAACUCCAACCGUUAUUAUCUUUAUAUGAUUUUCUAGGCAAUUUUAAAAAGAACGGUGGGAUUAUGAAAUCUUUUGUACAGAAAUGGAUCCAGAUCACUACAUACAUAUAUAAAAGCCACAGAGAAGUUUACAAGAACAUGCGGAACUUAUAUUAAGGUGUACAGACUGAAUGAUAUAUAAAAGAAACCAAUAAGAAAGUUUUUUUUUUUUUGGAACUCUACCAAUAAGAAAGUUAAUUCGGUGAAAACUCACACGAAACAUUGAAAAGAGUCAAUACAAACACACAACUUAACGGCUUGACUUGCUCGCUAAAGCCCAUCUACCCUCUCCUGUCGACAUGCCCACUGGGCCUUUUUAGUUUUUUAUUAAUGAAAUUAGCAGUUGCACAAAAAAAAAACUUAACGGCUUGACUCUUUACCGAGUCUUCUCCACUGUCGUCAACCCUGGUCAACCGCCCAACAAGUGUGGUCAGGUCACUUGUGUUCUGUUUGUAUAACCUGUAAGUUUCAUUACAUUGUCCUUCCUCUCAUUUUCUUUUUUUUUUGAACUUAAUCCUUCCUCUCAUUUUCACUCCCCCCAUGUUCUAGUUUCAAAAUUUAAAAGCCAAUCCUCUUUUUCAAAACUUCGACAGAUAAGGUCCUCACAAUGCAAAAAAUUCCUCAUAAUGACUUGUCAUCACCGUUUUAAACAAGUCCAUAUCCAUUCCCCUCGAGCUUAGACGUGAAUGGUAUAAUAGUAGCUUUGGCCCUACACAAGUGUGUUUGUGUGUUUAUUCCUAUAUAUAUUUAUUUUUAUCUUCAUUCGUUCUUAUAAGCUCUAUUUUUCCAACUCAAAACAUAAUUUAUGAAACGAUAUUCAGCUAAUUAGAGGAAUCAAUGUGAAUAGAAUAAGCACGAGGAGUAUCCAAUUGAAUGUUCUUAGAACUUAUAAGUAUAAUUUAAUGACAACCAACUAAGUGCUACUAACCAUAUCGAGAAAAAAUAUUCUAGAGUAGCAUAACCAGGAACGGACCCACUUGAAGAGGAGUAGAGUCACUUGACACCACACAAAACAUGUUAAAAUAUGUUUUACAAAGAAAAACAGCAAAAAAUUGGUAGCAGGGUUUGGUUAAGUACGGUGCUUGACACCGCAUAACCCGGGCUUCGAAGCCAGCAGAGACGCUUCGAACCAUACUCUUCAAAAUUAGGCUGAUCAGUGCUAGUUAAACUCUAUGUUUCUCUUGUAGAGUUCAAAACUUGCAUCCUUCUUCGGGCUAUAACUUCAGCUAUUAUAACAUUUUAUGCAACUUUCAUAUCAAUUACCUGUCCAAAUAAACCAAUUAUCAUAUCAGAAAAAUAAUGUGCUUCCAUUAACUGAUUUCUUGUGUAAGAAUUUUGUUAGCUCUAUGAACUUUGUUAGUAGUUUCUUCCACAUCUAAACCCUUCUCGUUGAAAUAGUUUUAGAUAUCUAGAAAUAUCAUUGCCUUCUCGUUUCAUUAUUAUUUCACAUAUGAUUUUAUGUUUAAAUAUCAGUUAAAGAAAAGAAAAUACCAUGACUGAUUCCUUUUGAAUUAUGUUUCUUAUUAUUGUAAAACGAUAUAAUUUACACUUCUCUGAAGGAUAUAGUCGCAAUAUUCUUUUGUAAUAUAUAGUUGCAAUGUUUUAAAAACGGAGAGAGUAUAUAUUGGCGUCAUGUAUUUUAUCAACGUGACCGCAAAAUCCGCAAGGCUACAGUGUCACGUGUCUUCUUAUUGUUGGGUUGAAAUCUUACCGACAAACAGAUCCUAGUCGGGUCCACGUGCGUAAUGAGAUCACUUCAAUGUCCUUUACUCCCCUGUCCCUUUUGUCUAAUUACGACGCUUACAGGAGGGUAAGUAAAAUACUCCCUCUGUUUCUAAAAAUAGAAUGUUUUACAGAAUUUUGAUGUUCUAAUUUAUAAAAUGUUUUUAUUUUUCUAUGUAAUUUUUACUUUAUUAAAAACUGUAUACUCAAUCAUAUUUUAAUAGUCUAUUUUAUAAUUGGUUGAAUACCAUUAAUUUAUAGUUUUAAUGAUAUUUUCUAGACAAAAAUAGUUUUUUUAAUAUGUGUGUUUUUAUCUAAACAUUUUAUAUUUAGGAGCGGAGGGACUAGUUCUUUUGGCAAACUUCCAAAAUUAGUUAUGUACAAAUAUGAUUUGCUAAGAAAACCUGCCUUCCAUUCAGAAAUCUUUGCGAAAGGUCUGAUUUAUCAAUUUGUUAUAUUCAGACUACACUAAACAUCAGUCUCUCGUUAUGAUACCAAAUAAGUACCUUAUUCCUCUGCCUCCCUUCGUUGUUAUGUAUGAUCCCACGUAUCAAAUCAUAGGAUAAACAAAAUAAAC
This 2620-nucleotide long non-coding RNA is filed under the name Brassica napus (rape). RNAcentral's name for it is "long non-coding RNA (BNAP_LNC013539)". The record is from RNAcentral. Lineage: Eukaryota; Viridiplantae; Streptophyta; Magnoliopsida; Brassicales; Brassicaceae.